CAAUAGCGUAUAUUUAAGUUGAUGCAGUUAAAAAGCUCGUAGUUGGAUUUCGGGUGGGACGCAGCGGUCUCGCAUUGCGUUUGUACUGCUGCAGCCCUCCUUCUUGCCGGGGGCGGCCUCUCGGACUUCACUGUCUGGGGGUCAGAAUCGGCGAUGUUACUUUGAGUAAAUUAGAGUGUUCAAAGCAAGCUUACGCUCUGAAUAUAAUAGCAUGGGAUAACACGACAGGACUCUGGCCUAUCGUGUUGGUCUAUAGGACCAGAGUAAUGAUUAAGAGGGACAGUCGGGGGCAUUCGUAUUCCGUUGUCAGAGGUGAAAUUCUUGGAUUUACGGAAGACGAACAUCUGCGAAAGCAUUUGCCAAGGAUGUUUUCAUUGA
This 378-nucleotide ribosomal RNA is filed under the name uncultured eukaryote. Its description in RNAcentral is "partial 18S ribosomal RNA". It matches the Rfam family "Eukaryotic small subunit ribosomal RNA", at positions 592 to 976 of the family's 1831-position model. The record is from RNAcentral.